Molecule: ribosomal RNA, 274 nt
Filed under: Francisella tularensis subsp. holarctica
Lineage: Bacteria; Pseudomonadati; Pseudomonadota; Gammaproteobacteria; Thiotrichales; Francisellaceae
Description: partial 23S ribosomal RNA
Rfam family: Bacterial large subunit ribosomal RNA
Source: RNAcentral
UGGAAGAAGGUGUGCCCUUGAUGGUGAUGAGACUUGCUCUUUGAGCUGUUGGGGGUUGCAGAUACCAUGUGGCUGCGACUGUUUAUCAAAAACACAGCACUCUGCGAAAUCGUAAGAUGAAGUAUAGGGUGUGACGACUGCCCGGUGCUGGAAGGGUAAUUGAAGGGGUUAGCGCAAGCGAAGCUCUGGAUCGAAGCCCCAGUAAACGGCGGCCGUAACUAUAAAGGUCCUAAGGUAGCGAAAUUCCUUGUCGGGUAAGUUCCGACCUGCACGA